CUCUCGCGACAUUCGACAGGCUUCAGCCCCGCCUACCGAGCGUGCGCCGUGGGUGCGGCUGCUGAGGCGAGGCUCGGAACCGCAGGAGUUGACAAACUGUAUCGAAUGUGAAAUGUGUGCCAGGCAUGGAACCACACGUUGACGACAGCAAGGACAAAUAGGAUACAGCUUCCCGGGUACGGGCUGUGCUCUUACACAUUGACCUGUGCCCUCUAUGCUGAAAACUUUUAAAGCUGUAAAAUGUACAUCUCGCGCACAUCAAAGAUGGUGACAGAGAAGAAUUAAGAAAGACAGCAUGUCCAGAGGAGCAAGGGACAAGAUCUAAAUAAUUUCGUGAAAUGUUCCUUGAUCGCAAGAUUUCCGCAGAAGUGUUCAAGCCUGUGAUAUGUAUUCUUGUGCACUGAGACAUCCAGAAUAUCAUAGCCUGUCCUUAACUGUGCAGAAGACCAAGCCACUGAGUAAAUGCAAAUCCUUUGACAUUUUUAUUUGUUUCUUAAAAACCCAAAUAAAAAUUUCAAUUUCAUCAUUCA
Long non-coding RNA from Cercocebus atys (sooty mangabey), 530 nucleotides. RefSeq lists it as uncharacterized. The transcript has 3 exons. The record is from RefSeq and is a predicted model, not a curated record. NCBI's taxonomy places the organism in Eukaryota, Metazoa, Chordata, Mammalia, Primates, Cercopithecidae.